AGCGAACGCUGGCGGCAGGCCUAACACAUGCAAGUCGAACGAACCUUUCGGGGUUAGUGGCGGACGGGUGAGUAACACGUGGGAACGUGCCUUUAGGUUCGGAAUAACUCAGGGAAACUUGUGCUAAUACCGAAUGUGCCCUUCUGGGGAAAGAUUAAUCGCCUUUAGAGCGGCCCGCGUCUGAUUAGCUAGUUGGUUGAGGUAAUGGCUCACCAAGGCGACGAUCAGUAGCUGGUCUGAGAGGAUGAUCAGCCACAUUGGGACUGAGACACGGCCCAAACUCCUACGGGAGGCAGCAGUGGGGAAUCUUGCGCAAUGGGCGAAAGCAUGACGCAGCCAUGCCGCGUGAAUGAUGAAGGUCUUAGGAUUGUAAAAUUCUUUCACCGGGGACGAUAAUGACGGUACCCGGAGAAGAAGCCCCGGCUAACUUCGUG
RNAcentral lists this ribosomal RNA (434 nucleotides) under uncultured bacterium. Its description in RNAcentral is "partial 16S ribosomal RNA". It matches the Rfam family "Bacterial small subunit ribosomal RNA", at positions 29 to 507 of the family's 1533-position model. The record is from RNAcentral.